GAAAGGAGCAGGGGACCGGGGAGGAGGAGGAGGAAGAGUAGCCGUCUUCCCGUUCCCCGGUGAUGAAGAGUGGAUAGUGGCCUACCAGCUCGAUGAAGAAGCGAACAAAGGCCUCGGACACAACGGUGCUAAGCUGCGAGCUCUCUCCUCCUCUCCAGAACAUUCUCCAGGGCUGACUGGAGUUUAGAGGGCAGGAUGGAGUCCUCAUCGUCCAACUGAACGUGACAAAACAGGAUUUUAAAGCCAUUUGCAGUCCACAGAGCAUGGCCUACCUGUCUGAGAAAUCGAUUGUUUCCAAGAUCUACAACCAGAACCUGCACAUAGAAGACCGGGCAGCUCAGUGAGCUGAGGCAGGGUACUGGACAGCAGGCCGACGAUGAACGGCGUCGGAGUGCAGACGAUGUCGAGCAUCGCCGUGGGCAGCACGGGGAUGUAAGUGUGCUGCCAUACGAAGGGGUAAAGCAGCGCCACGACAGCAUGGCAGCACUGGGAGAGAGUACUGAGAGGACAGACAGAGGGGCAAUGGAAAUGCUUUUAACUGCAUGUUUAAAGCUGACACGAUCCAUUUUUGCUUUCGUUCUGGAGGAGGGGAGGACAGAAGGAUACAGAAACAUACUCCUCCUCACCACAUGAGUGUGCUGUUGUCUAAAAUACCGUCCGGUCACUUUUAAUAUUCCCCAAAGUUAACAGCGUUUCCCAGAGAGGAAAGCAAAUCCACAUACUUCUUUCAUUUACGUCACUCAACUUUGCAUUCCGGCCAUCUACUAGUGUGACCGCUCUUUCUGACUCCCACUGGCUUUCUCCUGCAGAACAAACAAACUGGCCCCCGGCACGAAGAAACUCAACGGACCGGCCUCAAAAUAUCUCUCUGGCAUGUUCCCUGAAUAAAACUGGGCCUGCCAUAGAUUUAUUUUAAAAUCUGGGUCUGGACCACCCACAUUUCUGAUAACUUUAUAAUGAAAACCUCCCUGCUGCUUGCACCUAAUAUCUGCCGGCUCCAUAAUUACAUAAACAGUGAGGGAAAGGAUGUUCGGUGCAACAUCAUA
This is a long non-coding RNA of Acanthopagrus latus (yellowfin seabream), 1046 nucleotides long. RefSeq lists it as uncharacterized. The record is from RefSeq and is a predicted model, not a curated record. The transcript is spliced from 4 exons. Lineage: Eukaryota; Metazoa; Chordata; Actinopteri; Spariformes; Sparidae.